This 544-nucleotide long non-coding RNA is filed under the name Panax ginseng (ginseng). RNAcentral describes it as "long non-coding RNA (PGIN_LNC007474)". Lineage: Eukaryota; Viridiplantae; Streptophyta; Magnoliopsida; Apiales; Araliaceae. The record is from RNAcentral.
UCUCCACAAAAUCUUUCAAAUUGCAGCACUCAUUAGUUUCGUGACCCGUAGCUUGAUGAUAGCCACAAUACUUCCGAGUGUUGCCUUGUCCUGGCUUGAAGUUAUCACGAGGCGGUUCGAAGAACGGCUGGCCCCUGAUCUGAUCUAGAAUUACUGACCUCUCCGUGUUCAGUUUGGUGUACACCUUAUUCACCUUCUGGGCGGGUGGGCGGUUACCUCCUUGUCGUCAUGUAUUAUUGAACUUCUUGGAACUGCCUUCUUGUCGAUCGUUAUACCCUCCACCUUUCUUCUGAUCGCAAUCGGCUUUAGGAGUAUUUGCUUCCUUUAUUCGAUCCGAAGAAAGUCGUUUCAGGCUAUUCAUAGCCUCCUCCACCACGAUAUAACCUUCCGCCUUAUCAAAGGCCUCUGCCAAACUCUUCGGAUGGUGAAACAUCAGCUUCUUCACCAACUUUUCGGACUUUACUAGGUCUAACCCAUUCUGAAAUAACCCCACAGCUUGGAGAUCAUUCAAAUCUGAUACCUGACCAACGGCUUCCCUGAACCU